UCGAGGAUCUUCGGCAAUGGGGGCAACCCUGACCGAGCGAUGCCGCGUGGGCGACGAAGGCCUUCGGGUUGUAAAGCCCUGUCGAGGGGGAGAAAGCCGCAAGGCGGAUCCAUCCCUGGAGGAAGCUCGGGCUAAGUUCGUGCCAGCAGCCGCGGUAAGACGAACCGAGCGAACGUUGUUCGGAAUCACUGGGCUUAAAGGGCGCGUAGGCGGGCUGCCGCGUCCGGGGUGAAAUCCCACGGCUCAACCGUGGAACGGCCCCGGGUACGGGCGGCCUCGAGGGGGAUAGGGGCGUGCGGAACUGUGGGUGGAGCGGUGAAAUGCGUUGAUAUCCACAGGAACUCCGGUGGCGAAGGCGGCACGCUGGAUCCUCUCUGACGCUGAGGCGCGAAAGCCAGGGGAGCGAACG
Molecule: ribosomal RNA, 409 nt
Filed under: uncultured bacterium
Lineage: Bacteria
Description: bacterial SSU rRNA
Rfam family: Bacterial small subunit ribosomal RNA
Source: RNAcentral